GAUGAACGCUGGCGGCGUGCUUAACACAUGCAAGUCGAACGGAAAGGCUCCUGCUUGCAGAGGUACUCGAGUGGCGAACGGGUGAGUAACACGUGGGUGAUCUGCCCUGCACUUCGGGAUAAGCCUGGGAAACUGGGUCUAAUACCGGAUAGGACGAUGGUUUGGAUGCCAUUGUGGAAAGGUUUUUCGGUGUGGGAUGAGCUCGCGGCCUAUCAGCUUGUUGGUGGGGUAAUGGCCUACCAAGGCGUCGACGGGUAGCCGGCCUGAGAGGGUGUACGGCCACAUUGGGACUGAGAUACGGCCCAGACUCCUACGGGAGGCAGCAGUGGGGAAUAUUGCACAAUGGGCGCAAGCCUGAUGCAGCGACGCCGCGUGGGGGAUGACGGCCUUCGGGUUGUAAACUCCUUUCGCUAGGGACGAAGCGCAAGUGACGGUACCUGGAGAAGAAGCACCGGCUAACUACGUG
RNAcentral lists this ribosomal RNA (466 nucleotides) under uncultured bacterium. RNAcentral's name for it is "partial 16S ribosomal RNA". It matches the Rfam family "Bacterial small subunit ribosomal RNA", at positions 28 to 507 of the family's 1533-position model. The record is from RNAcentral.